CUAACUGGACACUGGGUUUACAUUGUGGUAUAGGAUAGGGCCCGUAUUUACAGUAUGCUUCAUUCUAUUCUAUUCUAGCUCACCGCAGAGAUCCUGUUGUUGUAGCCCAUUUGAAAAGGUUGGGACAACGCAUACAGACACGUUUCGAUUAUAGAGGAGACGCAGAUGGUGGAGGAGACCUACGGGCAUUCUGUCACGAGUUUGUAGUAACAAUAGGACGUAUAUUUAUGGCAGCUGGAGUCCGUAGCCUAAAUGCGCUUGCAUAUAAAAUACAGACAUCUGCAUACUGGUUAAUCUCAUGCCAUCCAAACACUCCUUUGUCCAGGCUUCUGUCUUUUUAUUUACUCUCUUUUAACCGCCCAUCAGAGGCAGCUGCUCGCCAUUUACCAGACCUCUGCUCAAGCAACGUGACGCACUCCACAGCACGUCCUCAUUUUAGAGGAGAUCGAUGCAUGGGGGAUCGGACAGCUCGAGCGCUUCAUCGCAGCCUUACUGACUGACACAGAUGCUGCGAGACUGGUGCAUUGUGGACCGGUGGUCAAACUUACAUCAUUGCAAAAGUGGCCAAACCCACAGCCCAGCUGUCGGAAUGCAAGACCCCAUGAUGACUGGGGUUCCCUGGUGUCCCUGACUGACUGGUGAAUACAGGAGUAGGGAGAGACAAAUGGGUAUGUGUCCAGUAUAUCCUCAUACUGUGGAGGGGGUUCUUGUAAAGGCAGAGGUUUAACAGCCGUUAUUGAUGGUAAUUCUGUCUUGUGUGCUCCAUUCCGUGAUAUUUUUCAAUGACUAUUGUUGGUAUUAGGGGAGCUGUCGUAACAAGUUAUUCAUUUAAAUUAGGUUAGUUCAAAGUAAAAAAAAAUCAAAUAAGUUAGAAAAAAAAGGUUAUUCAGGUCCAUUAGAUACUGUUCCUCAACGCCUAUGAUUCUUGGUGAUUUUGCAGACUAAUUUAGUAACCCUGGCCGACUGCAGUUCAUAGUAUCUAUUGGUAGUAGUCAAGGCCAAUGGUCAAGGUCCAGCACGUCCUUGGUAGGGUUUUGGGGACAGGUGUUCCAGGGGGUUGCGUUCCACUUUCUGCUGCUCUCUGCUCUGUGUUUAUCUCCAGAUAUAUCCUGAGGAAGAUGCUGGGAUGGUGCCAGCCCUCAGAGCCUAUUUAGACGAGUCAACGACAUGUCCUGACUGACAAGGCUGUCAACAAAGCUGUUUUUAAACAGUUGUCAACGCGGUUCAUCCUUACCGAACUGGGACUGGAACUGGGACCUAUGGCUUUCACCCACUGAGAAAGGGGCACAACAUUGGCAUUCACCCACUGCUGAUGGGGCACAGCCACACUUCUUUAUCUAUCAAUAUGUGUUAGAAGUGUAUCACCUUGCUGUGAUUAUUUGGAUAUUUUACUUAGCCUACUUAAAAUGGAAGUAUCAUUGGCACAUUGCUGGUUUCCCUUUAACCUUUUACUGCAAUGAGCUAAAUCAGUCACAGUGUUUCUUGGUUGUCUUAAACAAAUCCACUAUGAAACAAGAGUAUACACCUCACAUACAUGGUUAUGGGCUUAAAAAAAGACCUGUACCAUAUCAGAUAUACAUUUGAAAUGUAUUCAAGUUUGAGUUUGCAUCCCAAUAUUACAGUUUAUAUACAUCAAAGAAGACUGAAACAUUACAAAACCAUAGAAACACAGAAUUUUCGGCGGGUUUUUGAAAUAAUGUUUAUUAAUGAUGAAAGAUAUGAAUAACAUUCCACCCAUGAGUCCACUAGAGGGCGAUUUGGUAAUUUGACUGCAGGAAAGGGCUACUUGUAGUCUUUUGUGCCACAUUGUUCAGGACUUUAUUGGAUAGGACCACAUUUCAUGCCAUAAGAGAGACUCAUAAGGGGUGGAGUUGUAGUGUUGUGUGUCUGACGCUUUGGUGCUUUGCAUUUCCUUCCUCGAAAUACUGUUUAACUGAGGGAUGCUUUCUCUCCUCUCCUUUGUAAAUAACUCUAACACGUUCUGAUCCCCUUCCACACUGUUCAGCUGAUCAAAGCACUGACACUGCAGUUGACUAACACCUCUCUCUGAUGCCUGCUUCUCCUCAUGCUGUCAGCACUGUCCUUUGUCUUCUCUGUAACCUUGGCAACACUUUAACACCUUACUCACCUCCUCCAAUCUCUGACGUCUAACAUGACUAACAAGAUUGAGUCUGCUGAGAUGGUCUUGCUGUUCAUUUCAAUGAUGUGCUCCUAACCAAGCUAGCAGGGAGCACACCCAUGACAAGCCUGUGCGGAUGGUUUGGUAACAUUAGUCUACCCUAACGUUACAGGAGUGUUGAGGAUGUUAGAGUUGUGUCAGUGUGUGUAGCUGUGUUUGUGUUGGGGGUGUAGUUCUUAGACGGUUUCCCGAGGCCUGGUUUGUCUUGUGAUUGCUGCAUGUACUCUGAGUAACCUUAGCUGGAGUCGUAAAGAACUAACCAACACUGGGGUAAUCCUGGUUUACUAACCUGGACUAACAGUCUAACAUUCACUAAUCAACCAAACUGAAACCCAAGUACUGGAGAAGUGCCUUGUCUGACUCUCCCUGGUUAAAACCAUCCUUAACCUAAUGGUCUGUUAAAACCACUGUGUGUGUGUGUGUGUGUGUGUGUGUGUGUGUGUGUGUGUGUGUGUGUGUGUGUGUGUGUGUGUGUGUGUGUGUGUGUGUGUGUGUGUGUGUGUGUGUGUGUGUGUGUGUGUGUACAUUGUGUGUUUAAGAGUGGGGCUGUUACUGUCAUUAAUAUUCUUACACUCUGAAAUCAAACCCCCAACUGUCAACAGCUCUCUUGGCAUUCCUUAAUAAAUACACUAACAAUAACCCUCUAAUACCUAACAGUACUAACGUCUGCUAACAGACCUAUUGUUACUAAUACUCAACUGUACUAUGGAUGAUGUUGGCUGGACUUGUAAUUUCUAACACACUCACUAACCCUUUGCUUUGUGCCCUGAGUCUGAGACAGAGUCCUCUCCCAUUUUCCUGAAACCCUUCUCCCGCCAGACACAGAUCACCCAAAAUCAUAUACAAGAACUAUGUAUUUAUCAAUCUGUUAUAACCUUAAGUGUGAUAUGUUGCUUGAGACAUGUUACUUUUGGCCCCCUAAAGCACAAUGGUGAGUGAUUCCAGGAUCUGGGAUGGAAAGCUGGAUCAACCAAUAGAUUUAAAGAAAAAGCGCACCUAGGUUGACCACACACUUCUGCUCAGGGUGACGAUUGAUUUAAAAAAUAUAUAUAUUACAAAUCAUACAGUAACUAUGCUAAAGAAUUGUAUUUCAUUAAAGCUAAAGAAUUGCAUUUCAUUAAAGCUGAAGUAUUCUAUCUUAACAAAUAAUGGCUGACAAAUGUUUGUCCCUCUGUCCAUUGUGUGACCAACCUCCAAAAGGCGUUGCAGCUCAGUGCUUGGUUUGCAGUCUGCAUAGACACUGAUGUGUAUUAUCUUAUAAAAGAUAAACCAAAGGAAAUAGCAACCCUUUCCUGCUUUACUACUAACUGAGUGGUGACUGGUAUACUAACCACCCCAUAUGAGGCCUAACAAUUUGGCCAUUGAUUCAUUGCUCUUACUAACAUACUGUAUCUUCCCACAUAAAACAAUGCUACAUUUUACUAUAGAAUACUAUAGUACACUCUGUAGUAUCCCUGGAUCAUGUGUAGAACUUACCAAAUAAUUUUGUGUUAUACUAUAGCGGUAUACAGUAACCGAAAAGACACUGGUCCGAAUCCCUGAGCCGACAAGGUGAAACAUCUGUCGAUGUGCCCUUGAGCAAGGCACUUAACCCUAAUUGCUCCUGUAAGUCGCUCUGGAUAAGAGAUUCUGCUAAAUGUCUAAAAUGUAGAAUGGUAUAUAGUAUACUGCACACUGUAGUAUCCCUUGAUCGUGUAGUGCUUACUAUAUACUUUUGUAGUAUACUGUGGAAUACUAUACUACACACUGUAGUAUCUCUUGACUGUAUAGUGCUUACUAUUGGAUUGUGUAGUAUACUGGUGAAUACUACACUCCACAUUGUAAUAUCCCUCUAUCGUGUACUGCUAACUAUAUAUUUUUUAAAUAUACUGUAGAAUACUAUACUACACACCGUAGUAUCCCUCGAUCGUGUGUAGUGCUUACUAUAUGUUUUUUAUUGUAUACUGUAUAAUACUAGAUUAAAUAAUACAGCAUUAUCUGCAAAAAACACUAGUAAAUACUACAGUAAUGUCCACAAAAACAGUAAAAAAAAAAAAAAAAUAUAUAUAGUUAUACUAGAUUAUUUUAAUUUGCAUAUGCUUCACAUUCCCAUCCCCCAUACAGUGGUGUAAAGUACUUAAGUAAACAGUUUUGAAAGCACUACUUAAGUAGUUUUUUGGGGUAUCUGUACUUUACUAUUUAUAUUUUUGACAACUUUUACUUUUACUCCACUACAUUCCUAAAGAAAAUAAUGUACUUUUUACUCCUUACAUUUUCCCUGACACCCAAAGUACUCGUUACAUUUUGAAUGCUCAGCAGGACAGGAGAAUUGUCUAUUUCACAAACUUAUCAAGAGAACAUCCCUGGUCAUCCCUACUGCCUCUGAUCUGGCGGACUCACUAAACACAUGCUUUGUUUGUAAAUUACAUCUGAGGGUUGUAGUGUGCCCCUGGCGAUCUGUAAAAAAAAAGAAAAAAAAAAAGAAAUUGUGCCGUCUGGAAUUUUACAAUAUUUUUAUUUUACUUUUAAAACUAAAGUACAUUUAAAACCAAAAACUUUUUGACUUUUACUCAAGUAGUAUUUUACUGGGUGACUUUCAUUUUUACUUGUCAUUUCUUUUAAGGUUCUUUAGUUUUACUCAAGUAUGAACAUUUUGUGCUUUUUUCAUCAUUGCCCCCAUAUCUCAAUUUGUGCUAACUAUGAGUGAGAUACCUACAUGCCAUGUAUAGACUAUAUAUUGUCUUCCCUACAGAUUGUAAAAAAGAACAGAUGCUCUGAACUAUCUGAUCAGACUCCAGUUCUACCUACCUACCUACAGGUUAUGGAACAUUUGCUAUUUUUGCCCAGCAGGUUUCCUCAAGGAGAAAUCCUCCAUUUCUAUGAGCCUCUCCCAAAUCCAAACAUGAGUUUGCAGUGAUGGGUCAAGAUUAUAAGUACCAAUUGGAUGUCACAAAAUUGGGGCGAAAAAGGGGUAAAAAGUACAAAAAAAAUACCACAAAAAACAUAGUAAAUACUAGAACAAUAUCUGUAAAAACUACAGUAAUUACUAUAGUAUAUGCUAUAGUUUUUACUGUAGGAAUAUUUUCAGUAUUUAUACUGUAGUAAGCUUUACAGUAUACUAGAGUUAUGUCCACAAAAACACUACAGUAAAGUCCGCAAAAACACUACAGUGAAAACCUAUAGUAUAUUUCUGCAAAAACUACAGUGAAUACUAUACUAUAUUAGUCAUGUCCGCAAAAACACUGCAGUGAAUACUACAAUAUACUUCUGCAAAAACACUACAGUGAAAACUAUAAUAUGCUUCCGUAAAAACACUACACUGAAUACGAUAGUAUAUAAAUAUAGGAAUACUACAGUAUUUAGAGCAUAGUAUACUAUAGUAUUUUUUAAAUAUGUCUUCUUCUUUUAAUCAUGUCACCCACUCCACCCUGCCCCUUGGUGAGAUCAAACAGCAUCUUGUAGGCCAUGCAGUAUAUUGUCUUUACUUCCUGAGUCAUCCUGAGGAUACAUCCUUUAGUCCUUGAUUGUAUGACAUUUUACUAACCUCCUGAAAUGGAGUGAGAACACUAACUAUUGGGCGAUCCCACGCCAGUGGGAGCAGAAAAUAUUUUUGUUAUCUCAGAUUGUUCUUGCAAUUCUCACAUAUAAACUUCAUUGGGAGGAAGGAUGUUUGAAAUGCUUUUAUUUGUAUCACAAACUGUUUGAGAGAAUCAUGACGAAAGUAGCCAUUUUAAGCCUUUUUUUUUUAGACCUAUACAUGCCUCCUGUAAGACGUAUGAUCUGUGAACCGAACAUCAUACAGAUAUCUUAGUCAUAUAAAAUCAAAUGUUUUUAUUUGUCACAUGUGGCGAAUACAACAGGUGUAGACUUUACCUUGAAAUGCUUACUUACGAGUCCUUUCCCAACGAUGCAGAGGUAAAAAGUAAGAAACAUUUGCAAAAAAGGAAAUAGUCACACAAAAUAACAAUACUAUAUACAAGGAGUACCGGUACCGAGUCAAUUUGCAAGGAUUACGAGGUAAUUGGGGCAAUAUGUACAUGUACAGUUGAAGUUGGAAGUUUACAUACACCUUAGCCAAAUACAUUUAAACUCAGUUUUUCACAAUUGCUGACAUUUAAUCAGAGUAAAAAUUCUCUGUCUUAGCCUCUAACACCUCCCAAACCCGGAUCCGGGAGCACCCCCAUCAGUAGAAAAGCUACUAGCAUAGCCUAGCAUAGCGUCACAAGUAAAUACUAGCAUCUAAAUAUCAUUAAAUCACAAGUCCAAGACACCAGAUGAAAGAUACACAUCUUGUGAAUCCAGCCAUCAUUUCUGAUUUUUUAAAUGUUUUACAGGGAAGACACAAUAUGUAAAUCUAUUAGCUAACCACGUUAGCAAAAGACACCACUUUUUUUACUCCACCAGUUUUUUACUCCAUCAGUAGCUAUCACAAAUUCGACCAAAUAAAGAUAUAAAUAGCCACUAACCAAGAAACAACUUCAUCAGAUGACAGUCUGAUAACAUAUUUAUUGUAUAGCAUAUGUUUUGUUAGAAAAAUUUGCAUAUUUCAGGUAUAAAUCAUAGUUUACCAUUGCAGCCACCAUCACAAAUCUCACCAAAGCGACUAGAAUAACUACAGAGAGCAACGUGUAUUACCUAAUUACUCAUCAUAAAACAUUUCUUAAAAAUACACAGCGUACAGCAAUUGAAAGACACAGAUCGUGUGAAUCCAGACAAUAUUUCAGAUUUUCUAAGUGUUUUACAGCGAAAACACAAUAUAGCGUUAUAUUAGCUUACCACAUGUGCAAACAUCACCCCAGCAUUGAUUCAAGGCAAAAAGAGCGAUAACGUAUAAACCAACAAAAUAUAUAAAUUUUUUCACUAACCUUCUCAGAAUUCUUCAGAUGACAGUCCUGUAACAUCAUAUUACACAAUGCAUAUAGAGUUUGUUCGAAAAUGUGCAUAUUUAGCGGCACAAAUCGUGCUUAUACAAUGACAAUAGUGUCCAAAUACUCAAGCAAUCUGUCCGGCGCCAUCUUGGAAAGGCACCUAUUCUUAUCGAAAACUAUUCAUAAACUUGACUAAAAAAAUACAGGUUGGACAGCAAUUGAAAGACAAAAUAGUUCUUAAUGCAAUCGCUGAAUUACAUUUUUAAAAUUAACGUUACUGCGCAAUAGUUUUUUAAUGGCGAUAAAGCAAGGCUACACUGCAAGUAAUGGCGUCUUAUGCAUUUGACUUUUUUCAACAGAACAAUGAAUUAUCAGCAUAAAUAAUUCUUACUUUUUUAUGACCUCCCAUCAGAAUCUUGGGAUAGGUGUCCUUUGUCCAAAAGAAUCGUUGCUGGGUUGGAGAAAGUCAUCUUCCACGUUGCAAUUAGCAGUAAACAAUGGCAUGCGAGAGAGAGAUACCCAACUUCCUACAACGCCAGAAAAUGAAAUACCCGAAAAUCGCAAUAUACUGACAUAAACUGAUAUAAAUCGGUUUAAAAUAACAAGAUUAUGAUGUCUUUAAAGCCUAUAUCGAAUAAAAACAGAGCCGGAUAUAUCUAGGAGCUAAAACGGGAGCUUCUAAAACGACAUGCCAAGGUCCUCACUGCGUCAGCGCGAAGAAUCAAAAGGGGGGACCCUUUGAUUCCAAUCAAUUUAUAGACUUUCGGAUCUGCCUAGAGACUCCAUUUCAAGGCCCUCUAUUCGCUGACACCCAGGGGAAGGCGUAUGCAGUGCAUCUCAACCAAUAGAAUAGAACACAGGCAGAGUUAUACACAGGUCUGAGAACAGGUUGGAAAAAUCUGCAUUCUCAACUCCACUUAGGGAAAUUGCUCUAAGUCCAGUUCUGUUUCACGCACAGACAUAAUUCAAACGGUUUUAGAAACUAGAGAGUGUUUUCUAUCCAAUAGGAAUAAUAAUAUGCAUAUUGUACGAGCAAGAAUUGAGUACGAGGCAGUUUAAUUUGGGAACAUCAAGAAAAAAUAGUGCUAACAGCUCCCCCUAUUGACAAGAAGUUUUAAGUCAGUUAGGAUCAACACUUUAUUUUAAGAAUGUGAAAUGUCAGAGUAAUAGUAGAGACAAUGAUUUAUUUAAGCUUUUAUUUCUUUCAUCACAUUCCCAGUGGGUCAGAAGUUUACAUGCACUCAAUUAGUAUUUGGUAGCAUUGCCUUUAAAUUGUUUAACUUGGGUCAAACGUUUUGGGUAGCCUUUCACAAGCUUCCCACAAUAAGUUGGGUGAAUUGUGGCCCAUUCCUCCUUACAGAGCUGGUGCAACUGAGUCAGGUUUGUAGGCCUACUUGCUCGCACACGCUUUUUCAGUUCUGUCCACAAAUUUUCUAUAGGAAUGGGGUCAGGGCUUUGUGAUGGCCACUCCAAUACCUUGACUUUGUUGUCCUUAAGCCAUUUUGCCACAACUUUGGAUGUAUGCUUGGGGUCAUUGCCCAUUUGGAAGACCCAUUUGCCACCAAGCUUUAACUUCCUGACGGAUGUCUUGAGAUGUUUCUUCAAUAUAUCCACAUAAUUUUCCUCCUCAUGAAGCCAUCUUUUUUGUGAAGUGCACCAGUCCCUCCGGCAGCAAAGCACCCCACAACAUGAUGCUGUUAACCCCGUGCUUCAUGGUUGGGAUGGUGUUCUUCGGCUUGCAAGUCUCCCCCUUUUUCCUCCAAACAUAACGAUGGUCAUUAUGGCCGAACAGUUCCAUUUUUGUUUCAUCAGACCGGAGAACAUUUCUCCAAAAAGUACGAUCUUUGUCCCCAUGUGCAGUUGCAAACCGUAAUCUGUUUUUUAAUGGCGGUUUUGGAGCAGUGGCUUCUUCCUUGUUGAGCGGCCUUUCAGGUUAUGUUGAUAUAGGACUCGUUUUACUGUGGAUAUAGAUACUUUUGUACCUGUUUCCUCCAGCAUCUUCACAAGGUCCUUUGCUGUUUUUCUGGGAUUGAUUUGCACUUUUUGCACCAAAUUACAUUAAUCUCUAGGAGACAGAACGUAUCUCCUUACUGAGCGGUAUUACGGCUGCGUGAUCCCAUGGUGUUUAUACUUGCGUACUAUUGUUUGUACAGAUGAACGUGGUACCUUCAGACAUUUGGAAAUUGCUCCCAAGGAUGAACCAGACUUGUGGAGGUGUACAAUUUUUUUUGCAAGGUGUAGUGGAGGUGUACAACAAGGUCUUGGCUGAUUUCUUUUGAUUUUCCCAUGAUGUCAAGCAAAGAGGCACUGAGUUUUGAAGGCCAUGAAAUACAUCCACAGGUACACCUCCAAUUGACUCAAAUUAUGUCAAUUAGCCUAUCAGAAGCUUCUAAAUCCAUGACAUAAUUUUCUGGAAUUUUCGAAGCUGUUUAAAGGCACAGUCAACUUAGUUUAUGUAAACUUCUGACCCACUGGAAUUGUGAAACAGUGAAUUAUAAGUGAAAUAAUCUGUAAACAAUUGUUGGAAAAAUGACUUGUGUCAUGUACAAAGUAGAUGUCCUAACUGACUUGCCAAAACUAUAGUUUGUUAACAAGAAAUUUGUGGAGUGGUUGAAAAACAAGUUUUAAUGACUCCAACCUAAUUUUACUUCCGACUUCAACUGUAGGUAGGGGUUAAACGUGACUAGACAAUCAGGAUGGAUAAUAAACAGAGUAGCAGCAGCGUAUGUGAAAGUGUGAGUGUGUGACGUCAAUAUGCGUGAGUGAGUGAGUGAGUGAGUGAGUGAGUGAGUGAGUGUAUGUAGUCAGUGCGGGUGGAGUCCAGUGAGUCUGCGUAGUGCCGGUGCAAGAGAGUCAGUAUAAUUAAAAAGGGGCUCAAUGCAAAUAGGUUAGACAUAUUAUUAACUGUUCAGCAGUCUUGUGGCUUAGGGGUAGAAGCUGUUCAGGAGACGUUUGGUCCCAGACUUGGCGCUCCGGUACCACUUGCUGUGCGUUAGCGGAGAGAACAGUCUAUGACUUGGGUAGCAGGAGUCUGGCUUAUUUUUAGACAUUGUAACAAUAUACUCUUCAAACCAUGUCGAAUUUCCAGAGUGGGCUCUAUCAUACUUUUAAUGAUAUGACCCAUUUUUAUACAUAGAUAUUGACAUAGUUCACUAACCAAUUCCAGUCCUCCUUUAUGUCACCGGCAGAGUUCCCUUUGAAAUAUUUUGCCCAUUCACUGUGUUGGCGAUGCUCAUAAAAUUGAUCAUACCUUCAGAAUUAGCAGAGAGCUCACUCUGGAAAUUUGAUUUACUUGUAGAGCAGGGUUCCCCAACUGGUGGCCCAUGGGCCGAAUUAGGCCUGCUGGUGGUUUUAUUUGGCCCCCCAAUUUCUUUUUUUGUUCAUUGGAAUUUUCAUUGUUGGACAUAAAAUACUGCAAAAACACCAGGAAAUCAGCUCCAAGUGAGUUUUUUAAUUUAGGAAAUAUAUUCCCACACAUAAGAGAGACAGGUAAUCGUAUACAAAUAUAAGCAAGGUUUGAAAUUAUUGUUUUAGUCAAAUAUUAUAUCCGUUUAGAUUUCUUACGGUCAAUUUGCAGUCUACAAAUGAUUUGUAAUUAUGUUCCGACCAUCCGCUCAAGUAAAAUCAGCUCAUAGCUGAAUCUAGUUGAUGAUUCUUGUUGUAAAGUAUAUUGUUCCAAACAAUAUGUCUUAAAAUGAAACAAAUUCUAAAAAGGUAGUUUUGAGAUAUUCAUAUUAAUAGUUGUGAAAGGUUUUAUUUCAGAACCAAGACAUAUUUUACAGUACACUAUAAGAAGAAUAAUAACACCAAGAUGUCUGUGUCAUGUACUGUUCAAGGGGUCUUACAGGAGGCAUGUAUAGGUCUAAAAAAGGUCUAAAAUAGCUACUUUCAUCAUGAUUUUCAACCGCAACAAAAAAUUCUGAUACAAAUGUAAAAAGCAUGUCAAACAUCCAUCUCCCAAUGAAGUUUCUGUGAGAAUUGACAGAACAAUCUGAGGUAGAAAAAAUAUAUUCCGCUGGCAUGGAAUCGCUCUAUUGGGACAUGAUAGCUCCCCACAAUCUAUAAAACAAACUAACCUACUAAUUAUCUAACAAACUAACUAACCUACUAAAUAUCUAACUAACCUACUAAAUAUCUAACUAACAACUAACCUACUAAAUAUCUAACUAACAACUAACCUACUAAUUAUCUAACAAACUAACUAACCUACUAAUUAUCUAACAAACUAACUAACCUACUAAAUAUCUAUCUAACUAACUAACCUACUAAAUAUCUAACUAACAACUAACCUACUAAUUAUCUAACAAACUAACUAACCUACUAAUUAUCUAACAAACUAACUAACCUACUCAUUAUCUAACAAACUAACCUACUAAUUAACUCUAACAAACUAACCUACUAAUUAACUAAUUAUCUAACAAAAAACGAACCUACUAAUUAUCUAACAAACAAACUGAAAUCAUGUGCUCAGAGUUAUAAGGUUUUGAGGUUUUGGUUCAGCAAACCAUCACCUCACUUUGGUGUGUGUGUCCGCGUGCAUGUGUGGGCAUGCAUAUGUGCGUGUGCCUGCAUGUGUGUCCAUUUAUUCUCAAACUGUGCAUGACGAGGUGAUUGUCUGAGUGUUAAUGAGUAUGUUUAUGUAUCAGUUUUCUGCUGAGUAACAUUAUGGCAUAGCAAUGUUGUCCUCAUCCCCUAUUUACAAGUGAUUUAGCCUAAAAAUGAGACCACAUUUUAUGAUAAUGAAACAACUGUCAAAGCUUGACUAUCAAAUUGAUCAAGCUACUGUAUGAAGCAGUUUUUCAGAGUAGCUCAGUCAUAGGAGUUAAGGAUGACCAACCUAACUAAUCAGUGACCACCACAGUGUAGAAGAGGUCUUACUUCCUUGACUUCUCUGUCCUUUAUGUACUGGAAUUACUGAAUACUGGAUUGAUGAAACACAUUUCCCAUGUCCUUUUCACUGUGGAAUAAACUGUCACACAUUUUGAAAA
Molecule: long non-coding RNA, 12014 nt
Organism: Salvelinus fontinalis (brook trout)
Lineage: Eukaryota; Metazoa; Chordata; Actinopteri; Salmoniformes; Salmonidae
Exons: 4
Source: RefSeq, a predicted model, not a curated record